Molecule: ribosomal RNA, 529 nt
Filed under: uncultured bacterium
Lineage: Bacteria
Description: bacterial SSU rRNA
Rfam family: Bacterial small subunit ribosomal RNA
Source: RNAcentral
UUGACAUCCAGAGAAUUUAGCAGAGAUGCUUUAGUGCCUUCGGGAACUCUGAGACAGGUGCUGCAUGGCUGUCGUCAGCUCGUGUUGUGAAAUGUUGGGUUAAGUCCGCAACGAGCGCAACCCUUAUCCUUUGUUGCCAGCACGUAAUGGUGGGAAACUCAAAGGAGACUGCCGGUGAUAAACCGGAGGAAGGUGGGGAUGACGUCAAGUCAUCAUGGCCCUUACGAGUAGGGCUACACACGUGCUACAAUGGCGUAUACAAAGAGAAGCGACCUCGCGAGAGCAAGCGGACCUCAUAAAGUGCGUCGUAGUCCGGAUUGGAGUCUGCAACUCGACUCCAUGAAGUCGGAAUCGCUAGUAAUCGUAAAUCAGAAUGUUACGGUGAAUACGUUCCCGGGCCUUGUACACACCGCCCGUCACACCAUGGGAGUGGGUUGCAAAAGAAGUAGAUAGCUUAACCUUCGGGAGGGCGUUUACCACUUUGUGAUUCAUGACUGGGGUGAAGUCGUAACAAGGUAGGCGUAGUGCU